GUAAGGUUAAGCCUCACGGUUCAUUAGUACCGGUUAGCUCAACGCAUCGCUGCGCUUACACACCCGGCCUAUCAACGUCGUCGUCUUCAACGUUCCUUCAGGAGACUUAAAGUCUCAGGGAGAACUCAUCUCGGGGCAAGUUUCGUGCUUAGAUGCUUUCAGCACUUAUCUCUUCCGCAUUUAGCUACCGGGCAGUGCCAUUGGCAUGACAACCCGAACACCAGUGAUGCGUCCACUCCGGUCCUCUCGUACUAGGAGCAGCCCCCCUCAAUUCUCCAGCGCCCACGGCAGAUAGGGACCGAACUGUCUCACGACGUUCUAAACCCAGCUCGCGUACCACUUUAAAUGGCGAACAGCCAUACCCUUGGGACCUACUUCAGCCCCAGGAUGUGAUGAGCCGACAUCGAGGUGCCAAACACCGCCGUCGAUAUGAACUCUUGGGCGGUAUCAGCCUGUUAUCCCCGGAGUACCUUUUAUCCGUUGAGCGAUGGCCCUUCCAUUCAGAACCACCGGAUCACUAUGACCUGCUUUCGCACCUGCUCGCGCCGUCACGCUCGCAGUCAAGCUAGCUUAUGCCAUUGCACUAACCUCCUGAUGUCCGACCAGGAUUAGCUAACCUUCGUGCUCCUCCGUUACGCUUUGGGAGGAGACCGCCCCAGUCAAACUACCCACCAGACACUGUCCGCAACCCCGGUAAGGGGCCAACGUUAGAACAUCAAACAUUAAAGGGUGGUAUUUCAAGGUUGGCUCCACGCAGACUGGCGUCCACGCUUCAAAGCCUCCCACCUAUCCUACACAUCAAGGCUCAAUGUUCAGUGUCAAGCUAUAGUAAAGGUUCACGGGGUCUUUCCGUCUUGCCGCGGGUACACUGCAUCUUCACAGCGAGUUCAAUUUCACUGAGUCUCGGGUGGAGACAGCCUGGCCAUCAUUACGCCAUUCGUGCAGGUCGGAACUUACCCGACAAGGAAUUUCGCUACCUUAGGACCGUUAUAGUUACGGCCGCCGUUUACCGGGGCUUCGAUCAAGAGCUUCUCCUUACGGAUAACCCCAUCAAUUAACCUUCCGGCACCGGGCAGGCGUCACACCGUAUACGUCCACUUUCGUGUUUGCACAGUGCUGUGUUUUUAAUAAACAGUUGCAGCCAGCUGGUAUCUUCGACUGGUCUCAGCUCCAUCCGCAGGGACUUCACCUACACACCAGCGUGCCUUCUCCCGAAGUUACGGCACCAUUUUGCCUAGUUCCUUCACCCGAGUUCUCUCAAGCGCCUUGGUAUUCUCUACCUGACCACCUGUGUCGGUUUGGGGUACGAUUUAAUGUUACCUGAUGCUUAGAGGCUUUUCCUGGAAGCAGGGCAUUUGUUACUUCAGCACCGUAGUGCCUCGUCAUCACACCUCAGCCUUGAUUAUCCGGAUUUGCCUGGACAAUCAGCCUACAUGCUUAAACCGGGACAACCGUCGCCCGGCUAACAUAGCCUUCUCCGUCCCCCCUUCGCAGUAACACCAAGUACAGGAAUAUUAACCUGUUUCCCAUCGACUACGCCUUUCGGCCUCGCCUUAGGGGUCGACUCACCCUGCCCCGAUUAACGUUGGACAGGAACCCUUGGUCUUCCGGCGAGCGGGCUUUUCACCCGCUUUAUCGUUACUUAUGUCAGCAUUCGCACUUCUGAUACCUCCAGCAUGCCUCACAGCACACCUUCGCAGGCUUACAGAACGCUCCCCUACCCAACAACACAUAGUGUCGCUGCCGCAGCUUCGGUGCAUGGUUUAGCCCCGUUACAUCUUCCGCGCAGGCCGACUCGACCAGUGAGCUAUUACGCUUUCUUUAAAUGAUGGCUGCUUCUAAGCCAACAUCCUGGCUGUCUGUGCCUUCCCACAUCGUUUCCCACUUAACCAUGACUUUGGGACCUUAGCUGGCGGUCUGGGUUGUUUCCCUCUUCACGACGGACGUUAGCACCCGCCGUGUGUCUCCCGUGAUAACAUUCUUCGGUAUUCGUAGUUUGCAUCGGGUUGGUAAGUCGGGAUGACCCCCUAGCCGAAACAGUGCUCUACCCCCGAAGAUGAAUUCACGAGGCGCUACCUAAAUAGCUUUCGGGGAGAACCAGCUAUCUCCCGGUUUGAUUGGCCUUUCACCCCCAGCCACAAGUCAUCCGCUAAUUUUUCAACAUUAGUCGGUUCGGUCCUCCAGUUAGUGUUACCCAACCUUCAACCUGCCCAUGGCUAGAUCACCGGGUUUCGGGUCUAUACCCUGCAACUUAACGCCCAGUUAAGACUCGGUUUCCCUGCGGCUCCCCUAUACGGUUAACCUUGCUACAGAAUAUAAGUCGCUGACCCAUUAUACAAAAGGUACGCAGUCACACCCGAAGGUGCUCCCACUGCUUGUACGUACACGGUUUCAGGUUCUUUUUCACUCCCCUCGCCGGGGUUCUUUUCGCCUUUCCCUCACGGUACUGGUUCACUAUCGGUCAGUCAGGAGUAUUUAGCCUUGGAGGAUGGUCCCCCCAUAUUCAGACAGGAUACCACGUGUCCCGCCCUACUCUUCGAGUUCACAGCCUGUGCAUUUUGGUGUACGGGACUAUCACCCUGUACCGUCGGACUUUCCAGACCGUUCCACUAACACACAAGCUGAUUCAGACUCUGGGCUGCUCCCCGUUCGCUCGCCGCUACUGGGGGAAUCUCGGUUGAUUUCUUUUCCUCGGGGUACUUAGAUGUUUCAGUUCCCCCGGUUCGCCUCGUUAACCUAUGUAUUCAGUUAACGAUAGUGCAACGAAUUGCACUGGGUUUCCCCAUUCGGACAUCGCCGGCUGUAACGGUUCAUAUCACCUUACCGACGCUUUUCGCAGAUUAGCACGUCCUUCAUCGCCUCUGACUGCCAGGGCAUCCACCGUGUACGCUUAGUCGCUUAACC
This 2904-nucleotide ribosomal RNA is filed under the name Klebsiella pneumoniae subsp. pneumoniae Kp13. RNAcentral describes it as "23S ribosomal RNA". Lineage: Bacteria; Pseudomonadati; Pseudomonadota; Gammaproteobacteria; Enterobacterales; Enterobacteriaceae. The record is from RNAcentral.